UGGACUAAUACAGGGCGAUAUACCCAGUA
This 29-nucleotide non-coding RNA is filed under the name Homo sapiens (human). The record is from RNAcentral. Lineage: Eukaryota; Metazoa; Chordata; Mammalia; Primates; Hominidae.